AGUUGCAGCAGGGGGUGGUCUUCUGCCUGGACCCCCCCUGCCUGGUGGAGCUGGCGUGAGGACCAGGACAGGGACCUGAGUGCCAGGCCAGCUGAAUCCCUGCUCGCUCCACCUGCCCCUGCCCCAAUGGCCUCCCGGCGCUGGAAGUAUGUGUUCACGGCCCUGCUGACCACCCUUGGCCUGCUGGGAGAUUAACAAGGCCUUCAAAAACCGGACCUGGUUCUUCAGCGAACCUCUGGGCAACUGCUCUCUGCAGCUCGUGGGGCUGUGCCCAGGGGAUCA
Molecule: long non-coding RNA, 282 nt
Organism: Alligator sinensis (Chinese alligator)
Lineage: Eukaryota; Metazoa; Chordata; Crocodylia; Alligatoridae
Exons: 3
Source: RefSeq, a predicted model, not a curated record